AACUCGCCUCCUGCCCUCCGCUCUGCCCCGUAAACACUUGCUUAUUCUGUUGUGCAGGGUGGAAUUGCCGAGCUGCAGAAUGAAAGCGAGCCUGGCCCCUUCCUCAAACCUCGCGCUGAUUGAAAGACGGGAAACCACUGACAGCCAUCUCCAGCAGCUUCCUUGCCGGCGGUGCGAGUACGGGGUUUCCUCCAUUAACAGCAAUGAAAAUAAUUUGGGGAAACUGGAAUGGGCUUCUGUCCUAUGAAUUGCACCAAAUGAGGUAAGCAGAAUAAUAUGACAUUCAGUUAAUUUUUAUUUUGUAUAGCAUGAAACUGGUGCUG
This 323-nucleotide long non-coding RNA is filed under the name Fukomys damarensis (Damara mole-rat). Its description in RNAcentral is "lncRNA (ENSFDAG00000022854.1)". The record is from RNAcentral. Lineage: Eukaryota; Metazoa; Chordata; Mammalia; Rodentia; Bathyergidae.